AUAUCAAUAAGCGGAGGAAAAGAAACCAACCGGGAUUGCCUCAGUAACGGCGAGUGAAGCGGCAAGAGCUCAAAUUUGAAAGCUGGCUCCUUCGGAGUCCGCAUUGUAAUUUGCAGAGGAUGCUUUGGGUGCGGCCCCCGUCUAAGUGCCCUGGAACGGGCCGUCAGAGAGGGUGAGAAUCCCGUCUUGGGCGGGGUGUCCGUGCCCGUGUAAAGCUCCUUCGACGAGUCGAGUUGUUUGGGAAUGCAGCUCUAAAUGGGUGGUAAAUUUCAUCUAAAGCUAAAUACUGGCCGGAGACCGAUAGCGCACAAGUAGAGUGAUCGAAAGAUGAAAAGCACUUUGAAAAGAGAGUUAAACAGCACGUGAAAUUGUUGAAAGGGAAGCGCUUGCGACCAGACUCGCCCGCGGGGUUCAGCCGGCAUUCGUGCCGGUGUACUUCCCCGUGGGCGGGCCAGCGUCGGUUUGGGCGGCCGGUCAAAGGCCCCUGGAAUGUAGUGCCCUCCGGGGCACCUUAUAGCCAGGGGUGCAAUGCGGCCAGCCUGGACCGAGGAACGCGCUUCGGCACGGACGCUGGCAUAAUGGUCGUAAACGAC
Molecule: ribosomal RNA, 593 nt
Filed under: Aspergillus niger
Lineage: Eukaryota; Fungi; Ascomycota; Eurotiomycetes; Eurotiales; Aspergillaceae
Also listed under: 1 other name
Description: eukaryotic LSU rRNA
Rfam family: Eukaryotic large subunit ribosomal RNA
Source: RNAcentral